Molecule: non-coding RNA, 109 nt
Organism: Acanthosepion pharaonis
Lineage: Eukaryota; Metazoa; Mollusca; Cephalopoda; Sepiida; Sepiidae
Source: the annotation of a GenBank genome assembly
UGGCCAUAUCACAUUGAAACACUAGUUCUUGUGUAAUCACAAGUUAAGCAACAUCGAGCCUGGUCAGUACUUAGAUGGGUGACCACUUGGGAAUAUCAGUUGCUGUAAG